This 403-nucleotide ribosomal RNA is filed under the name bacterium. RNAcentral describes it as "partial 16S ribosomal RNA". It matches the Rfam family "Bacterial small subunit ribosomal RNA", at positions 355 to 776 of the family's 1533-position model. The record is from RNAcentral.
UGGGGAAUAUUGCACAAUGGGGGAAACCCUGAUGCAGCGACGCCGCGUGAACGAAGAAGGUAUUCGCAUCGUAAAGUUCUGUCCUAUGGGAAGAUAAUGACAGUACCAUAGAAGAAAGCUCCGGCUAAAUACGUGCCAGCAGCCGCGGUAAUACGUAUGGAGCGAGCGUUGUCCGGAAUUAUUGGGCGUAAAGGGUACGCAGGCGGUUUAAUAAGUCGAAUGUUAAAGAUCGGGGCUCAACCCCGUAAAGCAUUGGAAACUGAUAAACUUGAGUAGUGGAGAGGAAAGUGGAAUUCCUAGUGUAGUGGUGAAAUACGUAGAUAUUAGGAGGAAUACCAGUAGCGAAGGCGACUUUCUGGACACAAACUGACGCUGAGGUACGAAAGCGUGGGGAGCAAACAGG